CAGCCGCCGCGGUAAUACAGAGGGUGCGAGCGUUAAUCGGGUUUACUGGGCGUAAAGCGUGCGUAGGCGGCUUCUUAAGUCGGAUGUGAAAUCCCUGAGCUUAACUUAGGAAUUGCAUUCGAUACUGGGAAGCUAGAGUAUGGGAGAGGAUGGUAGAAUUCCAGGUGUAGCGGUGAAAUGCGUAGAGAUCUGGAGGAAUACCGAUGGCGAAGGCAGCCAUCUGGCCUAAUACUGACGCUGAGGUACGAAAGCAUGGGGAGCAAACAGGAUUAGAUACCCCUGUAGUCCCUGUCUCUUAUAC
RNAcentral lists this ribosomal RNA (301 nucleotides) under uncultured bacterium. RNAcentral's name for it is "partial 16S ribosomal RNA". It matches the Rfam family "Bacterial small subunit ribosomal RNA", at positions 509 to 807 of the family's 1533-position model. The record is from RNAcentral.